This 202-nucleotide ribosomal RNA is filed under the name Escherichia coli. RNAcentral describes it as "partial 16S ribosomal RNA". It matches the Rfam family "Bacterial small subunit ribosomal RNA", at positions 98 to 303 of the family's 1533-position model. The record is from RNAcentral. Lineage: Bacteria; Pseudomonadati; Pseudomonadota; Gammaproteobacteria; Enterobacterales; Enterobacteriaceae.
GCGGACGGGUGAGUAAUGUCUGGGAAACUGCCUGAUGGAGGGGGAUAACUACUGGAAACGGUAGCUAAUACCGCAUAACGUCGCAAGACCAAAGAGGGGGACCUUCGGGCCUCUUGCCAUCGGAUGUGCCCAGAUGGGAUUAGCUAGUAGGUGGGGUAACGGCUCACCUAGGCGACGAUCCCUAGCUGGUCUGAGAGGAUGA